UUAGUCAUUACAAUUCAUAAGGGCAUUUUAAAUUUGAUCCAUAAAUUUUCUCCGGCAUCAUCCCACGGACACGGACCAGUCCGCACACACUAAUUUAGAAUAAAUUAAAAAACUUGAACCCUAUAUCGAACAACUACCUCGUAAGCGUGGUCGCCCAGUCCUAUUGCACCACCUUCUCUGUCGGUUUUGUCAUCGUCGUCCCUCCAGCGGCGCAAGGAUGACGGAGGGCCACAACAGCCUUGUCCAGCGGUUGCAUGCCGUUGAGGAGAAGCCGCUCUGCCUCCUUUUGCGCGGUGCGGAGACUGCUGACGGAGCCCUGUGGCGGUCAACCCGCUUCAAUGCGGCGCAACAGAGUUGAUUUCUUGGGACGCGACAUCCGCAUUGAAGCGGCGACGCCCAAGAUAUCGCAUAUGUCUGUGCCACCCUCUCAUCCUAUCAAAUUACAGGCAUCAAUGUCAGUCAUUGCAUGCUCUCGACUGGCACGAAUGCAAGGGGAAGCGUCGCGGGCGUUUGCUGGAAAGUGCAGGAAAGGCAGGUGUGUAGCUCAUACUUCACAUCGUAAGGCAUGCACUAUAUGUGCAUCCAUCGUUGCGAUCAAAUUGCAGGCAUCAAUGUCGGUCACCGUACGCUCUCGACUGGCAUGAAUGCGGCAGGAACUGCCGCGGGCGUUUGCUGGUAAGUGCGAGAAAGGCAGGUGUUGCAGCUCAUACUUCACAUUGCCACACAUGCACUAUAUGUGCGUCGUCGCUGCGGAUGCAUCGGUGGAUGUGCGCAGCGUGCCCGAGAGCGUCGCACGGGAGCUCUGUGCAGCCAGAGAUCAUCUUCUCGGGCCCGUUGCUCUGUGCAACUCGCUGUCGCACGCAGGUGCCGCUAGCUUGCGUUGUUGCACCUUUGAGUCGUUUGAUCGCGAUGCUGCACCUCGUGCCUCGUGUCGAGGGAAUGAGCCUGACAAUGAAUACUAGGGGUACGAAUGAGGGGCAGAGCCUAACUAAGGCACAUGUGUACCACUCGUAUUUAGCCGAGUUCAGGCCCCCCUCGGAGAGGUAAAGACCCUACGUCUCGUGUUCGGAGGCUUGUGUUUUUUCUAGGGGUGUCUGAUUACACAAGGUCUUGAAGCCUUGACACGGAGCUCGAGGGUGGCUUAUAUAGAGUUCGCCAGGACCCAUCGUGCAUCAUUACAAGGCUAAUUAAUGCGAGUAACUACGAGAGUUACUAGAAAUUGCAGCCCUAACUACGAUUGUUACUGGUAACGCUAGUCAUGACCGCAUUUCAUGUGUGGCGUUAAGUCCCCCGGCCGUUGCACAUCCCAUGUCAUCCAUGCCUCUUCUCUGUCCGGGUGUUGAUGCUUGGCCGACUGACAGGAAGACGUCCAAGUGAUUUCAUGGAUCCGAGUGGAUCCGGUGUAUGCAUUCGAAUGCAUCCAUAGUCCUGAGAUUUUAAUGACCGUGAGGGGCCCUAAGUGGGCCCCGUAUGUAGGGUCCAUGACCCUACCACUACUAGGUGACCCCAUCACCCCUUCAUGCCCCCUCGUCUUGGUGGCACAAGCAUCUACAAGUGCUGGUGCACCCCUCCAUGGCGGCCGACAAGGUCCUUGGGGCCGAGAGAGAUCGCGGGCGGGGCGAGAGCGGCUGCAUGACGGGGGGAGCACAGCGGCGCGACAUGACAAGGGACGUCAACUGCGCCAUGCCGGGAGAGAGAGAGAGAAAGCAAAGUUGUGCGAGUGAAUGCAUGUAGGCCACACAGGACAUGCAUCGGACACAGGCGGGUGAAGCGGACACAGAAAACGUCCACUUUGUGUCCGCCUUCGACCCAAAUCUAAUUCAAAUUUAAGAUUGAAAUAGGUUAAAGCGGGCACAAACCAAAUAUAAAAUGGAAAUGAGUUCGGACAAAGUUUUUAUCGACACGAACGGACACAAAUGAGCGAAAUAGAUCUGUUGGAGCUGCUCUUAUUGCAUAAUUGGUGUUGCCUCUAAAAAUACUACUACUAGUAUGAACCAGUUUAUAUUUCUCGAUUGUUAAAUGUCUAGGGUCUCCAUGCCAAAAUUGCUAAGUGCUGGCAUUUUAUACUAUUCCUGAUGUCCGUUGGAUGGAUAACCAACACUGGAUGGGAAGGCGUAUGUUAUGUUGUGACUGCCAGAGGCAUGUCAUCUCAUCCCGGUCCAUGUCACACUGCAUUGUAUGUUUUCUUCACUGGAAAGUAGCUAGGUGGAUUUUUACAUCAACUAGCUAUGGAAUGUUACUAGUAUCUACUCCCUCCGUUCAAACUAGUUUUCCCUAACUAUAAUUAUUUAGAUACAGAGAGAGUAGUAGUAGUAAUCUAGCUGGAGCUUCAUAUAUGUUCGUUCAGCUGCAUUUUUUUUAGUUAUUGCUUAUUACAUACACCGCAAGCUCAUGAUUUUAUACUUUUGGUCCAACAAAAAACGAUGAUCAAAUUUUAUUUUCAGCCAAGGAAGAAGCUCGCUCCCAAGAGUGCAAAAUGAAGGCAAGGCACACGAAAUGAUAAGAGUAACAUGAUAUUGAGUGUUGUUGCCACUCAAAAUGGUUAAAAAAAUGAACUUCUGCCGUGAACUGCUAUGAUGAACUGUUGUCAUGAUUCUCUUUCUUUAGCCCAGAUGAUAUAUUCUUGUUUUAUUUGAUUUAAAGUCACGCAAAAUGACAGUGAUGUUAAAGUAGAUUGUGGUGGUGUUAAGCAAAUGGGUGUUGGUUUUGUAUCCUGAUGCAUGCUUGCCUUUAAUGCUCUUUGUUCAUACGCCACUGAAGCUAGUAACCUAGCAAUAAAAAGUUGUGUUUUUUUGCUUCCAGUAGUUGUAAUAAAGAUUGGUUUUUUUGUGUUGUUCAUGGAGUGAAAUUGUAGGUUGUGAGAGAGCCAUUAGUCAUUUAUAUAUGAUGAAAGUAAGCUAAAGAAAAAACCUCAGCUCAAAUCUGCCAAACAUUCAGUACUACGGAUGGGGAACGGGUUUGGGAGGGGAAAGAGGUUCGGUGGGGAUUUAGUGAAGGGAGGGAUUCACCAAAUCCCAAAGGCUUUGUUUGGUUAUAGGGGAACCACUCUCCUAAGGCCUUGUUUGGUAUUAGUGUAUUUUAAGAAAUUUGGGGGGAUUAUCCCGAUCAAACCCCUCAAUUCCCACACAUCCCAUAACAUCAUUUGGUUCUAAUGUAUUUGACAUGUUUCAUCCCCAUAUUUCCCCUCAAAUCUUCAAAUUAUAGUGCACUUUUUUCAAUACCCAAUACACUACCCCUACCUAGUGUAUUGGGGAUAAAUGGGGAUUUGAAGGGAUUGGGUGAAGGUUGGGGUUUCACCCGAUCCCUUGAAGAAUUAUCCCCACCAACCUCCUCAAAAACACUAGUACCAAACAAGACCUAAUGAAACUAAUCCACUAGGGGAUUGGGUUGAUUCCCGCUUGUCACCUAAUCCCCUAGGGGAUCAAUCCCCUUUAACCCCUCCAUUCCACUUUAACAAUAUUUCAUUUGGAUGGGGGAAAAGCCCGUGCAAAACAAUAGAGUACGGUAAAACUCAUCAGAUUAGCAUGGCAUCAAAUGUAAAUAGGCCAAGGUUCAAUCAGAUUAGCAUUGUAUAGUUUAUUAAAUAGGACAAGUUUCAAUCAUACUAAAAAUGUCUGACACACGGUAGAAGGAAAGUGGGUGGACGGGAGGUUGAUUUUCACAGGAGAUGAUGUGCAACAAUAGGGGAGAGGAGGCUCAGGAGAAAAGCAACAGGAGCUCUCCCGGGCAUGGCGAGAGAGAGAUAGUCGGCUGGUCGCGGUCGUGUGGGAGGAGGAUGACGGGGAGCUGUACCUCCGUUGAGGCGAAGGGAGGCAGAGUUCGCCGUCUCUGGCGGCGCCCCGUCUCCUUUUGGCUGUGCCACCAUCAGUGUCGCCUCUGGUGGAUUGGUUCCACGGGUAGGAGGCGAUUUUUCUGGGCCCCGUGUACCACGCCUCAAACCAAAC
RNAcentral lists this long non-coding RNA (3944 nucleotides) under Hordeum vulgare. Its description in RNAcentral is "long non-coding RNA (HVUL_LNC003412)". Lineage: Eukaryota; Viridiplantae; Streptophyta; Magnoliopsida; Poales; Poaceae. The record is from RNAcentral.